This 24-nucleotide non-coding RNA is filed under the name Arabidopsis thaliana (thale cress). The record is from RNAcentral. Lineage: Eukaryota; Viridiplantae; Streptophyta; Magnoliopsida; Brassicales; Brassicaceae.
CUAACUCUUCUUACCACGGACAGA